AAAAAAAAAAAAAAAAGGAAAAUAGCCAGAUCAAUUGCUCAUUGUAUUUGUAUUUCAAAUACUCAGACAGUUGGGGACCUAUGAUUAAAUUGGAUUGAAUCAAACUACUCUCCUUUCAUGUAUGUCCAAAAAUUGAUUUCAAUUCCUGAGAUAUUUAUCUUUAAUUUCCUUUUCUGAGCUUGAAUGUGUAAGAAAUUUGCAUGAUCAAUAAUUGUGGUAUGCCUUCUUACUGAUAAUCUAGGGUUUUCUCAGGUAUCACUCCCUUUGUGCGUUU
This 274-nucleotide unclassified non-coding RNA is filed under the name Hevea brasiliensis (rubber tree). The record is from RNAcentral. Lineage: Eukaryota; Viridiplantae; Streptophyta; Magnoliopsida; Malpighiales; Euphorbiaceae.